CAACAUGCCGGAGAUGGUAAAGCUAAUUUCCUAAUCACGGGAAUCAAAUUGAGUGACUCUGAGUAAAGAAAAUUAAAUGCAUCAUAUUUCCUCGAAAUGUUUUUUUUAUGGCAAUCAUUAUUUCUAUGACGUUGGAGAAUGAGAGAUAUUUAGUGAAUAUGUAUGCUAGGCCGAUAAACCGCCCAAUAACCGCCCGAUAAGAGCUAAACCGAUACCAAUCCGCCCGAUAUCUUAUCAGGUGACUAAUGAAUUAAUACAUUUAAAAGCCGAUAACCGUUAAGGCAAAUCGUUAAGAGUAAAAAGACGC
This 307-nucleotide long non-coding RNA is filed under the name Nicotiana benthamiana. Its description in RNAcentral is "long non-coding RNA (NBEN_LNC002213)". The record is from RNAcentral. Lineage: Eukaryota; Viridiplantae; Streptophyta; Magnoliopsida; Solanales; Solanaceae.